UACGGAGGGUGCGAGCGUUUGUCCGGAAUCACUGGGCGUAAAGGGCGCGUAGGCGGCUCAUGAAGGCUGUGGUGAAAGUCCGGGGCUCAACCUCGGAUCGGCCGUGGCGACUCGUGGGCUGGAGCACUGUAGAGGCGGGUGGAAUUCCGGGUGUAGCGGUGGAAUGCGUAGAGAUCCGGAAGAACACCAGUGGCGAAGGCGGCCCGCUGGGCAGUGGCUGACGCUGAAGCGCGACAGCGUGGGGAGCAAACAGG
RNAcentral lists this ribosomal RNA (254 nucleotides) under uncultured bacterium. Its description in RNAcentral is "partial 16S ribosomal RNA". It matches the Rfam family "Bacterial small subunit ribosomal RNA", at positions 524 to 776 of the family's 1533-position model. The record is from RNAcentral.